RNAcentral lists this ribosomal RNA (152 nucleotides) under uncultured bacterium. Its description in RNAcentral is "partial 16S ribosomal RNA". It matches the Rfam family "Bacterial small subunit ribosomal RNA", at positions 1349 to 1500 of the family's 1533-position model. The record is from RNAcentral.
UCAGCAUACUGCCGUGAAUACGUUCCCGGGCCUUGUACACACCGCCCGUCACACCAUGAGAGUUGGGGAUACCCGAAGCCUGUGAGCUAACAGUAAUGGAGCAGCAGUCGAAGGUAGAAUCAAUGAUUGGGGUGAAGUCGUAACAAGGUAUC